UGGGGAAUUUUGGACAAUGGGGGAAACCCUGAUCCCAGCCAUCCCGCGUGUGCGAUGAAGGCCUUCGGGUUGUAAAGCACUUUUGGCAGGAAAGAAACGUCGCGGGUUAAUACCCCGCGGAACUGACGGUACCUGCAGAAUAAGCACCGGCUAACUACGUGCCAGCAGCCGCGGUAAUACGUAGGGUGCAAGCGUUAAUCGGAAUUACUGGGCGUAAAGCGUGCGCAGGCGGUUCGGAAAGAAAGAUGUGAAAUCCCAGAGCUUAACUUUGGAACUGCAUUUUUAACUACCGGGCUAGAGUGUGUCAGAGGGAGGUGGAAUUCCGCGUGUAGCAGUGAAAUGCGUAGAUAUGCGGAGGAACACCGAUGGCGAAGGCAGCCUCCUGGGAUAACACUGACGCUCAUGCACGAAAGCGUGGGGAGCAAACAGGAUUAGAUACCCUGGUAGUCCACGCCCUAAAACGAUGUCAACUAGCCUGUUGGGGGUCUUCGGACCCUUGGUAGCGCAGCUAACGCGUGAAGUUGACCGCCCUGGGGAGUACGGUCGCAAGAUUAAAACUCAAAUGAA
Molecule: ribosomal RNA, 567 nt
Filed under: uncultured bacterium
Lineage: Bacteria
Description: partial 16S ribosomal RNA
Rfam family: Bacterial small subunit ribosomal RNA
Source: RNAcentral